GUAGAUUAGCAGUCCUUAUAAAUAUGCUCUGAUCAAAGGCAAACAUGGCUCAAAUAAUCAUUCAUCUUCUCUGUUGUUGAAAAUCAACAAAAGGGAGUACAAAAAAAUAAUUGAAUUGAUUGAUCGUAGGAAGCAAAGAUGGUUCAAAUAAGGUCAUAUGUUUUGGUAGCUCUCUUUAUUGUGCUGAUUGCAGCUGAAGCCACAAUUGUUCGAGGUGAUGCCAAUGGAAAUGGGAAUGGCAACAAAGGCAAUGACAAUGGGAAUGGUAACAAUGGCAAUGGCAAUGAGGGCCAUGAUGAUGGGAAUGUUAACAACGGCAACAACAACGGUAACGGCGACGAGGGUAAUGACAAUGGCAAUCAAAAUGGUGGCAAUGGUAAAGGUAACGGUGAAAAUGAUGAUUUUGAUGACGUAGAACCUCUACCAACAGGACAGGAAAGAGCUUACUGCAAGGCAAAGGGAGGUUGUCACCAGAAGACCCUUGUGUGUCCGGCUCAGUGCCCACAGAAGAAACCCAAGAAUAACAAGAAGAAGAAGGGAUGCCAUGUUGACUGCAGCAGCAAGUGCGAGGUCACUUGCAAAUGGAGAAAACCCAACUGUAAUGGAUAUGGCUCUCUCUGCUAUGACCCUCGGUUCAUUGGUGGUGAUGGAGUGAUGUUCUACUUCCAUGGAGAAAAGGGAGGUAACUUUGCAAUAGUUUCAGACGAUAACCUUCACAUCAAUGCCCACUUUAUUGGAACUAGACCCCAAGGAAGGACACGAGACUUCACCUGGGUGCAGGCACUCUCUGUCAUGUUUGAUACUCACAAUCUUGUCAUUGCUGCCAAGAAAGUAUCACAAUGGAAUGAUAACAUUGAUGCCCUGACUGUGAGGUGGGACGGCCAGGAAAUCAAUGUCCCUAAUGAUGAAGCAGCCGAGUGGAGAGCCAACAAAGAAGAAAGAGAGGUUAUAGUGGAAAGAACUGAUGAUACUAACAGCGUUAGAGUGAUUGCUGCAGGUCUUGUAGAAAUGGACAUCAAGGUCAGGCCUAUUGGAAAAAGGGAAAAUAUAGUUCACAACUACCAGUUACCUGAUGAUGAUGCUUUUGCUCACCUGGAAACACAAUUCAGGUUCAAGAAAUUGUCGGAUCUUGUCGAAGGAGUUCUGGGAAAGACUUACAGGGCUGAUUAUGUUAGUCCUGUCAAGAUUGGUGUGCCUAUGCCAAUGAUGGGUGGUGAAGACAAGUACCGAACUCCAUCUCUCUUGUCACCUCUUUGCAACGCUUGCAGGUUUCAGGGUAAAUCAGCUCCAGGGAUUGCUACAAUCUAAUCAUGCAUUUUAAUAUAUCUACAUUCUAAACUUAAAAAAAAAAAGAGCAAAUAAAUAAAUAAGCUAAUAAAACAAUAUCAUUCUUUGUGUUUGGAAACAAAUCAGGCAUGUAACGCUUGUAUCAAGAUACUUUUAUUUUGGUUGUUCAAAAGGGUUCAUAUUUCAUAUAUAAUCAUUCAAUACAAC
RNAcentral lists this unclassified non-coding RNA (1494 nucleotides) under Hevea brasiliensis (rubber tree). The record is from RNAcentral. Lineage: Eukaryota; Viridiplantae; Streptophyta; Magnoliopsida; Malpighiales; Euphorbiaceae.